This 72-nucleotide transfer RNA is filed under the name Salmo salar (Atlantic salmon). It matches the Rfam family "tRNA". From Rfam's summary of the family: Transfer RNA (tRNA) molecules are approximately 80 nucleotides in length. Their secondary structure includes four short double-helical elements and three loops (D, anti-codon, and T loops). Further hydrogen bonds mediate the characteristic L-shaped molecular structure. tRNAs have two regions of fundamental functional importance: the anti-codon, which is responsible for specific mRNA codon recognition, and the 3' end, to which the tRNAs corresponding amino acid is attached (by aminoacyl-tRNA synthetases). tRNAs cope with the degeneracy of the genetic code in two manners: having more than one tRNA (with a specific anti-codon) for a particular amino acid; and 'wobble' base-pairing, i.e. permitting non-standard base-pairing at the 3rd anti-codon position. RNAcentral also lists the same sequence under 1 other name. Lineage: Eukaryota; Metazoa; Chordata; Actinopteri; Salmoniformes; Salmonidae. The record is from Rfam by way of RNAcentral.
UCCCAUGUGGCUCAGUUGGUAGAGCAUGGCACUUGCAACGCCAGGGUUGUGGGUUAGAUUCACACGGGGGAC